This 16553-nucleotide long non-coding RNA is filed under the name Gossypium barbadense (sea-island cotton). Its description in RNAcentral is "long non-coding RNA (GBAR_LNC019239)". Lineage: Eukaryota; Viridiplantae; Streptophyta; Magnoliopsida; Malvales; Malvaceae. The record is from RNAcentral.
GUGGCUCUGCCGUGAGCGGUGGUUGGCGCCAGAAAAAGAUGGGCUUUCAGCCCCGUUCCCGAAUCCUUUUAAAGACCCGACUCUCUGGACCCAAGAGGCUGAAAAAGGAGGGGUCUUUCGUACCCUUUUCAGUUCGAUUCCAACAUUGAAGAAGGUUUCCAGUGACGGGCUUUCAAAACCCGAAACCGGUAAGUACUCCUUUUCCUUUCCUUUUUCGUUUUGUUACAAAUGAGUUGUAAAAAAAAACAAAUACAAAAAAAUAAUAAAAUAAAAUAAGAAAAACACAAGAACAGGAAAAUAGAAGCACUGGAGUCAACCUUUUUCUUAAAGCUUUUUGAUCUGCUUUUCAUUAACCAGUUGUAAAAGAAGAAGCCAAAUACAAAAAUGGUGUUUGGCUUUUAUAGCCGAUCUGUUUCUAUUUUUUCCUAUUAUUUUUGCUGCUUGCAUGUUCUCUUCUAUUUUGCAGGGUUGCUGGAGCAGGUGGGCAGAGGGUAGGUGCGGCACUGGACGUGACGGUGGCGUAGAAGUCCGAGGGUCAGAAGACCCUAGGUACGAUGCCUAGGGUUCUUUUGUUUUCUGCUAGGAUUUUUUCUUGUUUUGGGUUUCGGGCUGAGGUAUUGGGUAGUUGGGCUUUGUUGUAAUGGGUUGUUUGGGUUGGUUAUUGGGUAGGUUUUUGAGUGUUUUAUUUGUAAUGGGCCCCGGGCAAAAUGGGCUUGUACAGGCAUCAUUUAUCAAGUUAGCCGUCAAGUAGUAAGUAUGGAAGGAUUAAUUAAUUAAGUGGGGCUAGGCUAUAGUCUAAUUUAAAAAGAAUAGGCUUGAGUCCUAACUCAGCCCGACACACCCAAAUAACUCACUCUACUAUUUUAAAAAAUAAAAUAUCUAAUAUUAAUUUUUUUAUAUUAUAUGCUUAAAUUUAAAUAAAAAUAUAUUUCAAAUUAUUCAAUUUAAAUUCGGACAGAACCAGAUUCAAAGACAAAAUAUCAUUGCCAAAACUCAGGCCGAGCCGGAUGGACCGAUCUAAUCACGUAGCCCAUAAACAAGUUGAAUUCAAACGCGAUAUAGCCCGGUCUGAGCUGGGCCUACCCAACAGGGCGGAUGAGAGGUCAAUUCAAAUUUCUUUUUCAAAGAAGUCAGUUCAAAAUUUAUAUUGUUAUUUAUAACAUUUUUAAUUUUAAAAGUGUCUAAAGUAGCCUGUUAUCCAAUGCGGCGAGGACCACAUCACUAUAAUGCAACCCCCUGCGCAUAUAUUAACGCAAAAGAGAAAAACCGUCAGUUUUUUUGUUUUCGUUUUAUUUUUCCUUCCCAAUUUUGCUCCGCCACAAUGCCAACUCAUCUCUUCUCUCCACCUAGGGUUUCCAUUUCCGCCAUUGCAGCUCUUUCCUGAACUUUUAGUUUCACUCACAUUGCAUCGGGAUCAGCGCAUUGUUUUGAGAACUAAUUCCAAUUUUUUUUAAUUUUCUCCGCAAUUUUAGGGUUUUUUUCCCAAAAUAUUUAUGGUGUAGAUCGAGGUGAGUCUUUAUUCUUUAUUCUUUAUCAUUUUCAUUUUCUAUUUUUAUAGGGUUUUUUUAUUUUUUUUAAAAAAUUAAUUUUUUUUAUCGAGCUAUAAUUUCUUGUAUUUUCUUUAUUCUGGAUUGCAUGACUGCGUAAGAUUUUUUUUUUUGUAUAUGUGAAUUUACAAUGUAUAUAAUUUUUCCUCGUUUUUAGUUUAAAUUUUGUUUAAUCACAUUUUUUUUACAUUUGAGUUUCCUUUAAUUAUUUAAAUUUUAUUUCUUUUAUGAAAAGGAAAUGGUUAAUAAUAUACAAUUUUACAAACAUGAUAGUUAUCAAAAUUUUUAACUCCUGGAAUUGCCAGCAUUUAUUGAAAAACAAUAAAUUUUAAACGCGUGGAAUUAUUAUUAGUAUUAGUAUUUUGAUGCUAUUAAUUAUGAGCUAUACAUUGCUGUAGUAACAUUGUGGUGAUUUUAUCUGCAUUGCUCAUUGCAGUGUAUAGAUUCGGAGCUAGCUUUGUGUCUCAAUGGUAUGCUCACUGGGAAGUGGUAGAAUGGCGGUUAUGGCUAGGCUUCUUGAAGCAGGAAGCAUCUCGCCGAGUAUAGCAGGUACACUAUUAUUACUCGGCAUGAAAUAUCAGAAUGUGUAUGCUUCCAAUAUGUUACUUCAAUUCGGGUGUGAAAGAUAGAGUAUGUGACUGGCACGUGUAUGCCUUUUCUUAACAAGUUUCCUUGUAUUUAGAGCGUCUUGGGAUUAUAUCCUCACAUCCACGUCCAUAUGUGUCCAACAGGGGUAUUUCAAGAAAAAUGAAGAGUUGAAGCAACGCAUAUUGUUUUGAUAUCCUAUGUGUUAUGCAAAUUUUAAUAAUUUGCACUCCUUGGUUGCAUGGCCAAAUUGAAAUGGUGUGGUCUAAUUUUGUGAGCAAUCAGUAAUUAGUUACUAGGAAGUGAAAUAGAACGUUGCAAAUGAAGUGACAUAAGAGAAAUGAUUAAAGAAAAAUCUCAAUUUUGCAUCACCGUUUCUUACUUUUAUUCUUUUAUAUUGUACAUGACUGUCAUGUUCUGAAUGCUUUAAGGGUAUGUUGUGUCAUACAAUUGGUCUCUUCUUUUUGAGAAACUCUGUAAUUAUUCUUUCUUUUUGAGAAGGUCUCUGUAAUUAUUAUAGUGAAGUUAGUGGUAGCUCUGCUCCACCACAAAAAGAGAACCCACAACUUCUGUUUCUCCAUGAAUAUUUUGCACUUUUGAUCCAUUUACUAGAUCUUUUUUAUUUGUUUUUGUUCUCUCUCUCUUUGUCUUAUUCAAGCAUGAAAAUAGAUGUGUAAAGCGCUUGAUUCGCUUUUAAAAUAGUUAAAACAAAAGAAGCAUGCUGUCAAAUUUAUGUAACCGCACCUUAAACUUGACCAUUGUUGCUUGCACUCGGAGGAUGAGUUAUCAAAUUUAGGUCUUACUGUUCAAAUGAAUUGGAUAUGUCGGUCCAAUUUAUUAAACAACAUGGUAUUGACAUUGUCCUUGCUGUUGGCAGAGGAGGUUGGCAAUAAAAAAUUAGCUGCUCAAUUGCAGGAGGCAGAUGAGGCAAAUUUACUUGAUGAAGAAGGUGAUGCUGUGCGGACUAAUGUUUGUUUUAUUGGUUUUUCAAUUUAAUGAUGUUUCUCUUGCACCAAAUUAUAUGGGCCAUGCUGUGUUCAUUGUUUAUGAUGGCACGUUGAUUUUUCUCACAGAUAUGCAUGUCUUUGGCUUGAAGCCCAUGACUGAUCCUUUAAAUUUGGUGAGUUAUCUGAGCUAUAAAAUCUCAGUUCUCUUUGACAUCAUGUAUAAAACUCUUUCAUCUAAAGAGUUGUUUCUGUUAAUGUCUCUCUGAUCUAUAACUAUGAUACCUUUGCCUAUUAAGGCUCCCUCUAUAUGGUUUGGAUUGCUGAUGUAUAAUCUUAAAUAAAAAAGAAAUUCAACAUUUGAGUCCUACAUGGGGUUUUACAAAUGUAUGGUUAAUUAAAUGCCACCUAGAGUUUAACUUUUUUGCUUGAGAAUACUCACCAAGUGGCUUGCCUUUUACAUUCUUAGUUACCAAAAUUUCUUUGUAGCAUCCAAAGUGUGUUUUAUUUGUUUUUAGUUUUAAGGUUGUGUCUUCACCAAGGUAGAAAUUUAUUCUUUAUACAGUCAGUUCGUUGGUUUUUACAUAAGUUGUUUUUGUGCACACCAAAUUUUUUUUCUGUCGCGUAAUUGUUUAAUAUAAUCAUGAAGGUAUGUUGUAAUGCUUGUAAGAAGCCGGUCAAGGCCAGUCAAUAUGCUGCUCAUGCAGGUAUGGAGGCAUUUUACUUUUGUAACCAACUUUUCCCAAUUUUUCAUUAUGAUUAAUUCAAACACAGUUAAGGCGCUUAAAAUGUUUUUGCACUAUUUGAAUCCUGUUGCUAAAAUUGAAGUUAAGACUAGUUUAUUAUUAUCAUCUAUAAUUUUGAUAAACAUUUAUCCGCAUUUAAUGUAAUUUCCGUUGUCAGUCAAUUGCUAUUGUUCUCAAUGGUCUUUCUAUAAGCAGUAUGAAUUAGGGAUUUAUGGUCAUUUUGUCUACAUUGUUUCUCUAGUUAGUGGUGCUUCACUGAAAUUGUUUCUUUUCUCUCCCUGCCGAUUUUUCCAGAACUUUGUAGGUCACUAAAAAUCACAGAAGAAAUUAUUUUGGAGCUUGAUGGUAAUACAGGCCAUAGGAAACCUCCAAGGAAGGAAAGGAAGAAGUCACUAGCAGCUUAUGCUAGUAUCCAAUUUUUUUCACUUUUUUCUUCUCCAAUGUGUUUAAUUAUUUUUGUUGCCUUCACUUUUAAGUUUCAAUCUCCUUUUAUUCAAUUGGUUACUAUACUAAUCUUAGUACUCUUUUUUCGGGAAAAAAGAAAUAUCAAAAGUACUUAAAAUAGCUUUAGAUGUUUUUUCUCUUUAAAUGAAAAUUUAUUUUUUGGUUUUCUUGUGUUUUAUGUUAAAGAAGUGCCUUGCUUUUUCAGUUUCAUUACUAGGAAACUUGUAUUUCCUAGUUGAUUCAUAUUUUCAUAUUUCUUAACCUCUCUUAGACCAACCUACACUAGCUGGGGACCAGGAAAGAUCCGAAAUUAUUGAUGCUGAUGAUGAUCCUACAGCAUCAGAAUCCCUCGUGGAUGGGCAAAUUGGAAUGACUUCUUCCUUAACCAUGCAUGUGAAACGUAAGUGGAUCAUGUUGUUGAUUUCUCUUGCUUUUCCCAUUGUUUAAUGAUAUGAUUUUAUGAUGUAAUGCCUAUGUGAAAUGGGUCAUUAUUUAGUUAAUACAUGUCAGUUCUCCCUUUGCAGCAAGUGCUUCGUUAUUUGAGCUUGAUGCAUCAUUUCCCUUUUCUUUUAGGGAAUUCAACUUGUAUAGAUAUGGGAUAUCUGAUGGAUGGCUCAGGAAUUAGUCCCCAGAAUACUGAUCAAUCGGCCUCUCUAGUGCCACCUUCAACAAAACGCUUUAAAUUGUAUUCUCGUUGUCCUUUUUUUUUUCUUUUCAAAUAAUAGUAUAUUUGUCCUAAUGAUGUCUGCUUAUAGUUUAGCAUGAUAAAAUUGUCUUUUCUCAAAAACAAAUUUUACCUUAGCAUGCUUGUAAUUAUCUUCCUCUUCAUUACUGUUGACGCUACCCAAUUUGUGGUUUCCAGAAACCUGUUUACCUCUUCUUGUUCCUUUCCUUUGAGAUGAGAAUUGUAUUCUUUUUUUCUGUAGCUUAAACAUGGAGUAUAUGAGUGCAAAUGUUUGAGAAAGAUUUUAAGUGACUGAGCAUAUUGGCAUUUAGGGUGAUUCAUUUCUUUCUCUACAGUCUGCCAGCCUGGGGAUGAUUGAUUUUGUAAAAUGUUGUACUUGUGAAUUGUGAUAUUUUGUUAGCUUUUUUCCGGGAUCCUUAUGAAGUAGGUCACCUAUUGUUAUUCAAUUUUUUGUUAUUCUUUCUGAAUACCUUUUUGUUUUCUAGUGGAUGAUGCCUUCCUUUUCCUUUUUUGGUAGGCUAGCUGGUAACCGACUUCCCUUGCCGGAUGAUCCAAAAACAGCUUCUGGUGUGAAAAAGAUUCUAAAUUCACAUGACCUGUAUGCAUGUAAGGCUAUACUAAAUUUGUUGUUGUCAUUCUAUUUCCUGAAAAUUCUCAGUUGGACAAUAUCUCUGGCAUUUAGCUAAUGCAGAAAGGCUUUGGUUCACAAUAAGAGUUUUCGAUUUUUUGUUUGAGGAUCUUGGGAUGGCUUAACCAAAAUUCUGGAGCUGAGAUAUAUGCCUCUCAGAAAGGCUAUCCUAUUACCGAAUUAUUGCUCGUUGCUACUCAUGCAUUAAUGUUUAUCAUGUACAUUUGCAGCAAAGGACUCUCCAAUUAGAACAGUUUCCAGAAGUGAAACCCUUAACGUUAACUGUAAACUGACAAAAGGUAAGCCUUACUGCUUUCACUUAAGUAUAAUAGUUUCUGAAUCUUGUAAUUGACCAUGAACUUUCUUUUUGCCUGCCAUUAAAUCAGAUCCGCCUGCCCCUCUUAGUACCAAAAUGUAUUACUCUCAAAGAAAUAGUCGUCUUCGCUUAGCGCUUAGUCAUCAGUACUUCAUUACUUCAACCAAAGAACUUUGCAGUGAAAUGGCUAAUCGACAAGUGUCAAAGCAGAGCACGAUGAUGUUACGGGAUUCUUCUCAGGGGGUCUGUCCUCUUGAACAUGCAGAUAAUCUGCUUACCAAGAAGGUUUGCCCCUGCUAACUAUGCUACUUUAGGCUUUCCUCUUUCAUCUAGGUUGUAAUGAGUUUGAAUGUGAUUUGCUUAAGGAUGCAAAUGAAUUAAAGAGAGGUUUUUUUAAAUCAUCUAGCUGGAACCUUUUUCAUUAUUAAUCUUGAGUUUCCCUUACAACCUUGUUUUAAUUUAGUAGGAAAAACCAAAAAUAACAGAAAAAAGGGUCACCAUUUAACUUUUACAAGAUACCUAGUCAUUAAUUUCAUUUGUAUCUUCAAGAUCUCAUCCUUGGCUUUAAGUUAAAGUCCUCAACAAUCAGUGGAAUGCUAUUCAAAGUUCAACAGACGAAUAUCCACCAAGCAAACUAAAGAUUGAUGCUUAUUAUUUGAAGCAAUUAGUGCUUCUUUAAUCAUGAAGAAGCACAGCAUGGAUUUUUAAGAAUAAUGAAGUGCUUUUUGAUAUGCCUUAUGUGAUUCAUAUAUUUUAUGCAUCUAGAUGAACUGAAACGUCAAGGAUUGAGUGGCUUGUUUAUCAGUUAAAUAGAAUAAAUUUGUAUCUAUAUGGUCGAUUGCCUUAACUCUUUUGCUGCAUUGCAAUAUCUAGAAGUAUUCAUUGAGUUCAGAAAAACUUUGACUAAUUUCAUGUUCCUUGAAAUACAGCAAGAGUCUUCUCUGCAGAAACCCGAUCAAGUUCUUGCUCAAAUUUCAGAAUUUUGCUCGAGUAAAUCUGAGGUGUGCCUGCCAUCCAAUGACUUCUCAAAUCCGCAUCCUGUUGAUAUUAUUCCAAGGCCUCAGGCUGAUUCUGUUGGAUUGACCCGAAGCAAAUAUGUUCCUGAGCACCAUGCUUUUGCUGGAAACUCAGGUAGUCUACUAACAUAGUUGCGGUUUUGUUCCAAAGUUUUUGACUUCUUUCUUUACAAAUCUUCUUGUAGUUUGAUUUUCUGCAGACAAACUGCUGGGGCCUUUGCAGCCUCCUAAUGGAAGUGUUCCUGUUGUAUAGACAGUCCCAGGAUCAAUUUUUUGCUUGGCGAAGGUGUAUUUAGCCAUACAUGAGAUUUAGGAUCCAUUUUUUAAAACCUAGGAAAGCAUAUCUCUUCAAUUGUUCAUUCUAGUCUUCUGAAUUGCACUUUUGACUACUAGCUUCUAUUUAUAUUUCAUGGAAAUGAAGUAAAUAUCUUUCAAUUACUGUUGCUUGCCGGUCUAUUUGAGCUCCUUCAUGCCAUUUUUACCGUUUUAGGUGUUGUAGUCUAUUAUCCUCCUGCUUCAAAUAGUGUAUCCAUUUAUUCGUUCCGGAUCUCAAGCCUAAUUUCAAGAUCUGGAACUAGGUCUAAUUAUCCAACUUGGUCGAAACCAAACAGAAAUGUGAAAGAAAGGAUCUGAUUAUCUUGCGUAUUUCGCUCCUAAGAAGCCAUUUAGGUAAGGAAUAGAAGAUUUGGCCAUUAGCUUUCAAGAUAUGUUGUUGAUUGGUAUUGCAGAUAAUGAAGGAUGGUAGGACCGUUACAAGGUGGUCCGUGCCUUGGUUCAGUGACAAACUGAUGCAGGGUUUUCCUUACCACCAGCAAAUGCAAUUCACAAUGGUGGUUUUUGAUAGCAACAGAUUUGGACAGCCUAUUGUCUUUGUCCGAAAGGUUUGCUAAAUGUCUGUAACUUGUACUUUUGUGGAAACUUCCAGUUCACUGACAAGAAAAAAAAAAUUAAAAGAGAAAUCUAGUUUGUUGAUGAUGUGACCAGUUGCAAUCAGUUAUGUGGACUUUGUUGCUUUUAAAAAAAAAAAAAUUCUUAAGUAUCUGUGUUCGAAAUAGGAUUAUGGACAUGAGUUUUUAAAUAUAUGAAAAACUUGAAAAUAUUGAGUAUGUAUGUGUCAGAUACAUACUCGUAUGUAACCUAACCUGUCAGAAUAAAGUAGGAUAAUGACAAGCCGCAACAGGGAUUCUUUAGAAUUAGGAUCCGUGAUUUUUUGCCAUUUGUUCCCAAUUACUGUGACAAUGGAGAAGCAGGUCUCACAGGAAUCAGUUUUCACAUCUGUUCAUAUAUAUGGUGUUAGUGUGUAUGAUAUAUAUAUCGCACUAAAGGUCCCUUUAGGGCAAAUUUUUUAUUAGUUCCUAAAUUUCAUAAUGUCCUAAUUUGGUCCUUAAUAUUAUACCAAAUUGAUCCCUUCUGUUGGCAUUUCCAGCAUCGUUCCAUUAGUAGUCGGUGACGGUUUGCUAAAUAGCAGAAAAUGGUCCCUCUAUUAUGGAGAUCGAGAUCAGUUCAAAUUAGUUUGACUAUUAAAUUGAUAAAAUGAAUUAGAUAAUGUUGAAUUUUAACAGAAUUGACAUUUAUAGUUUUUAAAAAAGGUAUGAGUUUUUUUUUUUUUUUCAUUUUGAGUUCAACUUUGAACCAUGGUUGUUGGAAGUUGAUCGGUUGAUUGGACAAGUUGGAUUGAGAAUUGAAUGGGGUAAUGAUCCAGAAAGAGGUUGAAUUGGGUUUGGUUGGUUCUCAAACCGGUAUAGAUUGAAUAGGUUUUUAAUAUAUAUUUUUAUGAAUAUUUUAAUGAUUUAUUUAAUCGAAUUAGUUGAAUCGACGAAUCGGCCUAAUCAUUGGUCUGGUUUUAAAAUUUUUUUUUGAACUAAACAUUUAAUUUGUAUAUUUAUAAAAGUUUUAAAAACAUUAACUUUGUAAAAUGGUAAGCAUAUAUUGUAUUAAAAGUUGUCUAAUUUGAUUCUUUUUGUUGGUGUAAGUGUUGAAUUGAUUUAUUUAAUGGAACUAGUACUUAUAAUAGAGGUGAAUGAUUGACCAGUUAGGGACUAAUUCAAUAGGAUACCUGUAUUGAAAUGCUUUGAAGUUGGGGAUCAAUAUAGAAAUUGCUCCAAAGUUUAGGAAGCUUUAAUGGAAUUAGUAACAAUUGGAAAGGAAACGUCACUUUCUUAUUUAAAUUUUGGUAGCAUUCACACCUUAUGGCACACGGAUAAUUGGUUGUAGCCUGUAGUUAUCAUUUACGAAAAAGGAGAUGUCCAACUGUUGAACUUUCAGGUUUGAUGGUUUCUCAUUUUUCUUAUUGUUUUUAAACAUUAAAUAUACUUCUUGAUUUCUCUUUUUCUGAACUAAAAGAGAUUUUUUUUUUAAUAUUUGCUUAUUACCAUGGAAGUGUUGAAAAUUCUUAAAAGUUGCCAUAGUGUUUUUGAAGAGAAUAAUUAGUUAAGGGUUUGCAUGUAGGUAGGAUUACAGAGAAUGUAUUAUGAUAUGAAAUUAAAUCUAUCGAGAACUUCACUUGAAUUCGAGUUUUGAUAAUGAAUUGAAUCUUCACUCAAUAUGAUCUAUAAAUAUUUUUACAAGUGUCAUACGGGCAAAAAAUAAAAAGGAUGAUUGAUACGUUAGUUUUGAAAGCAAAAACCACCACCAUUAGUGGUGGUUGGACAGAAUGUUCCUAAAAAAAUGCUUCAAAUUCUCCACCAAUUUUUCCCCUUCGAAUUAACACCCAAAUUGACCACGUUUAUGAAAAUUAUAGGAAAUAUAUAAACAAAAGGUUUAAUUUUAUAUUUAUUUCUAAUACGAAUUUUGUUAAACAUCCAUUUUUUAAGGUUUUUAAAAUUAAAUUGGUGAUCAGGUCACCAGUUUGUUAGUUCCCUCGGUUUGUUCGGUUCGAUUAAAUAAAUAAAGAAAAAAUCAUAAAAAUAAAAAUAUUAAAAAUUUAGUUCAACCGUUUCAAUAUCCUUUUUCGAACCAAUAUCCAACUGAUUCUCGAUCCAUCUACUCCAAUCCUUUUUGAUAAUUUGAAAGCCAAAAUCUUAAAGUUAUAAGGGUUAAGCUAUAUAGAGAAAGGAUAAGGAUUAAGAGAUAAAUAAUUGAGGGGAUUCAAUGAAUGGGUCCAAUCAAUUUUAGAUAAGCCAAUUGAUUUUUUUAAUUCAUUGGCUACUUUAUAGUUCAACCUAUUAUUUAUAUUAAUUUUUUAAAUAUUUUAAUUUUAAUUUAUAUAUUUUUAAAAAAAUUGAUAUGAAUUCAAAUUAAAUAACCCUAUUUAUUGGGUAUCUAGAUUCAUUUAUAAUAUUAAAUAGAGGGGUUAUUAAAAUUUUUAUCAGACAUAUGUUUGACAUGAAUUCAAACUGUGUGACCCUUAUUUCUCCGUCUCUAUGUAUCAUUACAUGAAUUGAUAUCCAAAUUAGAUAACAUUAUUUUUCGGAUAUAAAAAAGCAUUAAAUAUCCGAAUUUAGUAAACCAAAAUAAUUUAAAAAAUAGAUAAUGGAUCCGAAAUUCGAAUCUAUAAUUUGCUAUUGGUAAAACUAGGGGUGAUUUCCAAUACUAAUUUUCAAAUUUAUUUUAUAUUAUUUGAUAAAAUUUUAAAGGCUUACUAUUUUAAAGAUACAUCAUAAAAAUUAAAAUUAAUUAUAUAUUAAAUAAAAGAAUAGCGGAUUAAACUUAUAUUCGUUGAAAUUGCAGAAUAUAUAAAUCUAAAUAUUAUCUAAAACAAAUCAUUAUUAAUUGCAAGAAGCUUUUGAAAGUAGAAAAGGAAGGGAAUCCUAAGAUGGUUAUACCAAAGUAUCUAAUUUAAAAUCAUAAUAUAUUGACUAACGACAAUAAGAUGGUGUUUAUACCAAGGAAUCAUCAUUUAUAUUCCACUAUCACUUUAAGUACACAAGAAUACGACCCACUAAAACAAUGUGACACCUUGGUUAAAUUUUGUUUCAACCCCUUGUACUUCUAAAACUUUAGAAUUUAGUCCCUAUAUUUUUAUUUUCAGGAAUUUAGUCCAUCUACUUUUCAUAUUUCACUGUUUACAUUGAUGUUUUUUUAAUUUAUAAAUGUCACACAAAUAAGUUUAACAAUUAAUAUUGGACUUAAAUUUUGAAAUUUGAAAAGUAGAAUGAUUAAAUUCUUAGAAAUAAAAAUAUAGGGACUAAAUUUCGGAUUUGCAAAAUGUAUGGAGACUUAUGGCAUGUUUUAACCAAAGGAUAAGGCCAAAAUAGGAAAUUUCUUGUUUCAAAUUGAAGAAUUAUUAAUGUUUCUACAUCAGUUUCAUUUUCAUGUAUUUAUAAUUGUAAGAACCAAAGCAAACAUUCCAUCCAAAGAAAAAAAAAGAACCCAAAGCAAAAAUAUCUGAAAAUAUCCACAGAUUUCAAAGCUUUGCUUGUUUAUACAUAAUUAAUUAAAAGCAAUAUAAAUAAUAUAAUGUAUAUAUCUAUAUAAAAUAAAUAUUUACAUAUAGAAAAUUAGUAAAUAAAUAAUAUUUUAAAUAAAACGAAUCAACUCUUAACCUAGUGGCAAGAGUAUUAUUGUGUUGUAGUCGUGAGAGCCCUUUUCCGCCUCAAAUAUAAAAAAAUAUAUUUUAAAUAUAAUUAUAAUUUAUUCAAAUGCUAGGAAUAUCAUACAAACUAGAUUAUCGUGUAGAGCGAACAAUUUAUAUAAAAAAUUUAAAAGAAAAUAUGAUAAUCAAAUAUCAUUUUGGUUAAAAUGAUAAAAUUAAGAUAUUAAAGGUUAUAAUAUUUUGAGUUCAAAUUCUAUCGUAUGCAAAUAAUUUUUUUAAAUUUUAUAUGAAAAGAUAAAAAUGUCCUCAAAAUAACACCUAAGACACCUUGUCACGACAAUCUUAAAUAUAGAUAGAAAAAUAAUUUAAACAUGCAAAAAUCAUAAUAAAUUAUGAAAUAAUAAUACAAAAAUAAAAAAAUAUAAUAAUAUUAAAAUAUAAAUUUACUACAACUCCACCCGUAUUCAUUAUUAAAUAAUAUUUUUAACCUCCAAUUUUGAAUAUAAUUAUGGAAGUUUAGAAAUGAAAAGAAAAAUCCAAUUUUAUAUAAUUAUUAUCAGUGUUAAAGUCUAACAACUUUUCAAAUUUUCCUUGAAAAUCCAAAUCCCAAACUCAAAUCUUCAAAGAAAGAAAAACCCAACAAAUUUUCUCAUUUUCUUAAAACCGUUUUCCUCAGAUUUUUCAUUUCCAAACGUAAAACAACUGAGCAUUAUCGUCUUUUAAACUUUUGAGUCUUUUCUUAACGUGUAUUGAUGACAAUACAGUGCAUUGCUAGGCUCAGAUCACGCCGGGUGGUUCAAGACCAACUGGAAGGUUCAGACACGGCCUCGGCAAAGGUGGCGACUGGUGGUGGUGGUAGUGUUUGUUGUUGGGCCAACUUGCCUCAUGAAUUGUUAAGGGAUGUUUUGUUAAGGAUUGAAGAGUCUGAAACUCGUUGGCCUCAAAGGAGAAACGUAGUCGCCUGUGCUGGCGUUUGCAGGAGCUGGAGAUUCGCCAUUAAAGAGAUCGUUCAAGUUCCUGAAAUUUCAGGGAAAUUAACUUUUCCUAUCUCUGUUAAACAGGUUCUUAACAUUUCCCCCCUUCCUUGUCAUUAAACAUUGUUCUUUCAAUUUUUGUUUUUGAUUUUAGAGCUAAGAUUUGAAUGAAAUGAUUCGUAAUUCAAUUCCAAUUCACUGUUUGGAAAUAGUGUCGUUUUCACUUUUCUUGAUUGAAUUAUCCUUAUCCUUAUCCUUAUCCACAUACCACCGUGCAUAUUUUUUCAAGUACUUCAAGGAAAAUGAAAAUCGGGUUUGCAUAGAUUAUUAGCUUAACUAAUCAUUAGUUAUGUUACACACUGUUGUUUGAGUUGAACAUGAAUAUGUUCAAUUUCUUUCUCGAGAUUUUCAUAUAUUUGGAGAGUCUUUGAAGGUUAAUAUUUCCGAAUCAAUGUCCGUAUAUGUAUUGAAUAUCGGUGUUUCAAGAAAUAUGAAGAGUCAAAGUAACAUAGAUUAUAUAGAAUGCUCUUCUCUCUUUCUCCCCACAACUGCUACCACUCGUCCCCAAGCCUCCAUCAAAGCCUUUUUCUCAAGUACGAACGAGGCUGCAACUCGCAGGCAGGGGACCGGGACUUGAAUCCUGAACCUAUUGAACUCCACUUGUUAAUGGUGGAUGUAUGAACUAACUGGUUUAAGCCUCAGGGUUCAACAACAAAGCUACAUUCUUCGUUUCCUAGUUCUACGAAUCGAAGCAUUUCAACUUUAAGAUUUUCAUGUUAAUCAUUCUAUCUUCCGUCUUGUGUUGGAUCAUUUGUAGCCUGGUCCGAAGGAAUGUCUCCUCCAAUGCUUUAUAAAACGGAACCAAUCGACUCGAACUUAUCACCUUUACCUCAGUUUAACUAACGGUGAGAUCUUUUUCCUUCUUUUAUGCCCGUUAAACCGAAGCUGCCGGUGUAUUUGAAAUUGACAAAUCGAUUAGGGACAGUACAUCAUAUAUCUUUGUUUUGAUCUGUAACACUUUGAAAUUUUCUCUUCGUUUCUCUAUGGCAGCGCUAACUGAUGAUGGGAAGUUCCUUCUUGCUGCUUGCAAGUGUAGGCGUCCUACUUGCACGGAUUAUAUCAUUUCACUACGGGCAGAGGAUAUUUCGAAGGGGAGCAGUACUUAUGUUGGGAAACUAAGGUAAGCAGUGAGCUAUAAGGAACGAGAUUAUACUGAAUUGAUUCGUUUUUUAACUUACCUGCAAUCUUGAGUCUUAUCUUUUACUUUCAUUUUGGCAAAGAUCAAAUUUUUUAGGAACCAAGUUCAGUGUCUUUGAUGGACAGUCUAGUCAUGCCGGUGCAAAGAUGACUAAAAGUCGAUCGUCUAGGCUAGCAUAUUCGAAACAAGUUACGCCUAGAGUCCCUUUCAGAAACUAUCCCACGGCACACAUUUCAUAUGAAUUGAAUAUGUUAGGUUCACGGUAAGAUUCGGGGUUAUUUUUCGCAAGGAUCCGAUAUUUUCUUAUUCUCACCGUCAUAUAGAGAUCCGAGAAUGCCGGUUCCUUGAGUCUUAUUCGGAUCUGUUUUAUAUGAUUUCCAGGGGUCCAAGGAGAAUGCAGUGUAUUAUGGAUACCAUCCCGACAACUUCAAUAAGACCAGGAGGUGUUGCUCCGACCCCGGCUGAGUUUUCUGUCAACAAUGUCAACGUGUUUCCAUCAAUUCCGAGCUUCCACUCGAAGUCAGCAAGCAUGAAGAAUUUUCUAUCUGGACCUUUGACCCAUCAAAAGGAUGGUGGUGCACUGGUGUUGAGAAAUAAAUCUCCAAGGUGGCACGAGCAACUCCAGUGUUGGUGCUUGAAUUUCCAUGGACGAGUGACGGUUGCUUCAGUGAAGAACUUUCAACUAGUGGCUUCUCCCGAAAACGGACCGGCUGGGCCAGAGCAUGAGAAGAUUAUCCUCCAGUUCGGAAAAGUUGGGAAGGACUUAUUCACCAUGGAUUACGGGUAUCCGAUUUCUGCAUUCCAAGCAUUUGCUAUCUGCCUCAGCAGCUUCGACACGAAGAUUGCUUGUGAAUAAAGGACAUGAUAAACGAUCGACAAUCGUAAACAUGUUAGCAUUUAAUCAUAGCCACUAUGGGUUUUUUUUCAUAUUCUUUACCUAUUGUUUUUAUUACAUUUCAAUACAUGGAAUUGCUUGAAGAGGUUGAUCAGUAGAUCUGGCAAUUCGUAUAUUUGCGUCGUGUUCGUGUAACUACUAUUAUCGAAACAAAUGAAUAGUACUAACUUUUUUCUUUUUCCAAUUUUGUCCAGGAUCAGGAAUAUGUACGAAGAUUGAUGCAAAUACAAUCUUAGGGGGCAAAAGUGGAAAGAAGGUACAUGAUAUUUCAGCUUAGAUUGAGUUAUUGUAAAUAAUUAACUCUUGAAUGAGUAUCUUCCUUUGCUUUGUUUACGUUUCAUCUAAUAAUUUAAUAACAAUUCGGUUUGGUUUAAUUUAAAAAAGUACAAUAAAUUUGCAAUUCAUACAGUAUUUUGAUUUCAAUGAAAAUAUCAUUUGUAACUUUUAAGGACGUAUAGGUUUUCUAAAAAGGUAUAAAGUUAAAUUUAGUUCUUAAUGUUUGCAAUUUAGUCUUUUUUAGUUAAAUUAAAUUUAUAAUCUUUUUAAAAGAGGUAAACUUGAUCAUUAACUUUUAAAAAGUGUUCAAUUAUUAUUAUUUAAUGAAAAUAAUAAUUAAAAAGUUAAAUUUUUAAACAUGUACUUCAUGUUUUCUUUAAUAUUUAUGAGCUUUAUGUAAUUUUUUUAUUUAUUUUUUAUUUGUUGACAUGAUAUAUAAUACAAAUGGUAUUAUGUCAACAUAACAUGUAGAUUAUCACGUCAACAUUGUUAAAAAAUUAAUGCUUUAUUUAGCAUUUCUAUUUGAAAAGUUAAUAAUCAAACAUUAUACCUUUUAAAAAUAUCUAUAACAUUUUAAGGGUUUUCCUUUUACUAAUUUAAAAAUAAAAUAUUUAUUCUAUAUUAUAAAAAAGUUGAAAUUAGAUAUGAAUAAAUUACGUUUUAAUUCAAAUCAGUGUAUACUAUGAACUAAAGUCAAUAGUGAAUAAUAGGUACCUUUCUUUUUCUUUUAUGAAAAAUGAGGCCUUUCUACCAAUGUUAAUCAAAAGUACCUUACUAGUUCAUGAUAUGUAUGAUAUAAUCCUUCAAAUAUAUUAAAAAUAAUUUCUAAAAAAUAAAACGUCUCGAGGUUUUCAAAGCUGAUUUGGUAGCUACAGGUUAGAUUGAAUAAAUUGUUAAAAAAAUGGAAAAACCUGCUUCAACCCACUCCAUCAUCGGUUCAAUCGAUCGAACUAGUUCACAAGUCACCGAUCUGGCUACAAAUUGAAUAUAUACAUGUUGAACUCGCAUCUAUAUUCCAUAUUACACUCGAAUACAAAUAACACUGAAUACAAAAAAUAACUGAAAUUGAUGGGUAAGAAAUUCAAUGAUCAGUAACCAACUGCUUUUAAACAGAGAGUUCAGUUUUGGAGAUAAGAAUGCCAUCACUAUCAGCAUAUAGCCACUCCCCAUCAUGGAUCAAUGUUCCGGCGAUCUGAACCGGGACAUGUUUAUCACCGACAGCCUUUUUAUUUGAUUUCAACGGAUUUGAUCCCAGUGCUCGAACCCCGAUAUCACAUGCAUUAAUCUCAUCGACAUCUCUAAUACAGCCGUUCAUAAUGAUACCGGCCCAUGCCAUGUCAUGAGCCCACUGCGCCAAAUUCCCUCCAACUAAAGCACAUCUUGUGCUUCCCCCACCAUCUAUAACCAAAACUCUUCCAUUGCCUUCGGUUUCAAGAAGCUGCCGGACCAAUACGUUGUCCUCGAACACCUUAACGGUUACGAUGGGCCCUGAAAAUGCAAGACGCCGGCCAUAGAUCUUGAAGAUUGGAUCAAGAGCACGAAGGUCACCAUUCACCAGAAGUGCUGCGUUUGAAUCACAAACAUCCGCAGUUGCAACGGCAGCCCUAUGUCUUCCUGCAGGGAAAUCUAAUUCAACAGUAAUAAAGAUUUCUUGCCGAAGAAGACAGUAGUAGAGAUGUCUAUAAAAAAAAUUAUGUUAGUCUGACUCUUCAUUUUUCUUAAAGUACUCGUGUCCCGAACUAGUAUCUGACUCAUAUCCCGACAUUGGUACGAUCUGAGUCUCUAAUGACCCUCUAAAUACAUGAAAAAAGGUUCAAAAAAUGUA